AUUUUUACAGUAAUUUCUUUAUCUGAUUUCAUCCUGUUUACAGAAGCUGCCGUUUGGAACAUUUCCCCCCCUGCGCCACCAUUUUUGAGAUGGCUUUUCUUUAAAUAAAUGUAUAUUAAAAAAUAGCGCAGACAACAGAGUCAGCUUCCUGCUUGCUCUUUAUUGUGAGGGAGAUAAGGUUGCUAAAUGCUGUGCUAUCUGGCUCUGGUUCGGUGCGUGACCUACAUGGAUCAAGAUGGAGAUUUAAUGAUUAAGCUUAACUCCUUUAUCUUCGGCGAGGGGGGAGGAAAGAGUGCCCAAACAAACUACUUAUGUUGCGGCAUGAUAGAAUUACAUUUCAACACAAUAAUUAACUAUCUGACACAUUCCUGCGAGGCUGCAGAUGUCACUAAUGGCUCCGAAAUGCCCCCUCUGUGUUGUCAUAACCCAGAGCUCUUCGCAGCAGCCAAAACAAGCACGUACUCUGAAGAGCAUCAAGGCUGGCAAAAUGCAUCGCAUCCCUUCUCAGCUGAUUCAUACAGCCCACAGCUUGGGAUGUUCUGGUACUCGGCAAAUGCUCCAAAGACACCUGGAAGAAGCCACCUGCGCAGGAAGCAGCGUUACUUGGUCAAAACCAUAUCCCAGGGCAUCAUAUCAAAUUAAAAUGUUUUUUUUUUCUUCUUAUCUUUUCAACGGGGAGCUUCUCCUCCUUCACCUCCCAGUGUGAAUGUGGAUGCAUGAGCAAUGAAUGGCAAUGGGAAAGGAAAUGCAGAGAAACCACACAACGAUUUACUGGGGCUUUAGCAAAAUAUUAUCAUUCUUAAUGUUUGUCGGCAUGUGGCAAUUUUCUUUGAACCAGGGAUAGUUUAAAUUCCUUCUUGCUUUGAAGACUUAAUUUUCUCCCAUAAAGAUUAUGGAGACUGCCCUGGAUAAUUUUAGGACUUAGGCACACUAUUUGCUGAGCUCAGGCAUGUUUUGGACCAUGUAUAUUUUAUUUGCCACCUGCCAGCUCGUGUUCGCAUUUUCCCAAAGUCUAGAGGUCACAGACAAAUCUUGAGCAAAGCCAUUUGCUAUGGCCCAGACCCCGCAUUACAUGUGCAUGGCCUGAGAGCCCUGCUUGCACACAGGCACGACUCGAAAUUUAUUAAACGAUCUUUCCAGGCAGAGCCAGAUCCCCAGCCUUGCAAACAGUGGCUCCGGUAAGUAACUUUGCAGACGGCCACAUGACAAACGCAGGCAUGACGUGGUGUCUGUCUCGUUUGCUUGUGGCACUCGGGGGCCACAGCCUGGGAGGAGAACAUCGGGCUGGAGGGCAAAGGGGGUGUCUGGGCACUGCACGGGGCUCAUGUGGGUCCUCUAUGGAGUGAAGCUCAUCCCAUGGCCAUGAAGCAAAAUCCUCCAAGCUUGGUGAGCCGAGGUUGGUAGGCAAGCGUGAGCCAACAGAAAUGUCUCAGUUGCUCUGAAUGCAGCCAGCCAGGAAUUCGCCCACUCUCUGAUUUGGCCAAGACAAAAUGGACAAGAAACAUUUGGAGGUGAUAUGAGAAAUCGCCACGCUCCAGCCCUGAGGACUUUUAUUAAGGAGAAGGUGGGGAUGAGGCCUGAAGAAAGCACAUCAGCAUCAAACACCCAGCUCUUUGGUUAGCAGGGGAAUGCUUUGAAAAGGACUGAUAGAUGAAACCCAAGGCAGACUAAUUCAAAAUAAAGCCUGUAGACAUAGCA
RNAcentral lists this long non-coding RNA (1698 nucleotides) under Anas platyrhynchos platyrhynchos (common mallard). RNAcentral describes it as "lncRNA (ENSAPLG00000021470.1)". The record is from RNAcentral. Lineage: Eukaryota; Metazoa; Chordata; Aves; Anseriformes; Anatidae.